UACGUAGGGGGCAAACGUUGUCCGGAUUUACUGGGUGUAAAGGGCGCGUAGGCGGGUUUGUAAGUCAGAGGUGAAAUCCUGCGGCUCAACCGCAGAACUGCCUUUGAUACUGCAAAUCUUGAGUACAGAAGAGAGAAGCAGAAUUCCAGGUGUAGUAGUGAAAUACGUAGAUAUCUGGAAGAAUACCGGCGGCGAAGGCGGCUUCUUGGUCUGUAACUGACGCUGAGGCGCGAAAGCGUGGGUAGCAAACAGG
Molecule: ribosomal RNA, 253 nt
Filed under: uncultured bacterium
Lineage: Bacteria
Description: partial 16S ribosomal RNA
Rfam family: Bacterial small subunit ribosomal RNA
Source: RNAcentral